RNAcentral lists this ribosomal RNA (136 nucleotides) under uncultured eukaryote. Its description in RNAcentral is "partial 18S ribosomal RNA". It matches the Rfam family "Eukaryotic small subunit ribosomal RNA", at positions 1299 to 1458 of the family's 1831-position model. The record is from RNAcentral.
UGGUGGAGUGAUUUGUCUGGUUAAUUCCGUUAACGAACGAGACCUCAGCCUGCUAACUAGUGGCUUGAACUUCGGUUCUAGUCGCUUCUUAGAGGGACUGAUGGUGAUUAGCCAUCGGAAGUUUGAGGCAAUAACA